RNAcentral lists this ribosomal RNA (253 nucleotides) under uncultured bacterium. RNAcentral's name for it is "partial 16S ribosomal RNA". It matches the Rfam family "Bacterial small subunit ribosomal RNA", at positions 524 to 776 of the family's 1533-position model. The record is from RNAcentral.
GACAGAGGGUGCAAACGUUGUUCGGAAUCACUGGGCGUAAAGCGCACGUAGGCGGAUUGCUAAGUCAGGGGUGAAAUCCUGGAGCUCAACUCCAGAACUGCCCUUGAUACUGGCGGUCUCGAGUCCGGGAGAGGUGAGUGGAACUGCGAGUGUAGAGGUGAAAUUCGUAGAUAUUCGCAAGAACACCAGUGGCGAAGGCGGCUCACUGGCCCGGUACUGACGCUGAGGUGCGAAAGCGUGGGGAGCAAACAGG